GUGUCCUCUUGUUUUAGUCCCACAUCGCUCAACAAGAGAGCUCGGGAGAUCAAGUGUAAUAUUUGUUUUUAUUAGUUUAAUAUCUGAUAUGUGGGCUAUAUGCCCACAACGAUAUUAAAUUUAUUUUUUAUGAAAAAAGAUCCAUCACAGUAGCUUGCUAGUGGGAUCCUUACGUGUUGCCCAGGUGUUGCAUUGCUGCCUAGGCUGGCGCACCCCAA
Molecule: non-coding RNA, 218 nt
Organism: Triticum aestivum (bread wheat)
Lineage: Eukaryota; Viridiplantae; Streptophyta; Magnoliopsida; Poales; Poaceae
Source: Rfam